AAGAAUUUAGUUAAAAAAUAACAUUAAUUUGUCAAAUUAAAAUUAUUUUUAAAAAAAAUAAUUCUUA
This 67-nucleotide transfer RNA is filed under the name Ptiliidae sp. BMNH 1274724. Its description in RNAcentral is "tRNA-Asp". The record is from RNAcentral. Lineage: Eukaryota; Metazoa; Arthropoda; Insecta; Coleoptera; Ptiliidae.